Molecule: ribosomal RNA, 253 nt
Filed under: uncultured bacterium
Lineage: Bacteria
Description: partial 16S ribosomal RNA
Rfam family: Bacterial small subunit ribosomal RNA
Source: RNAcentral
UACAGAGGUCCCAAGCGUUGUUCGGAUUUACUGGGCGUAAAGGGUGCGUAGGCGGCGCGGAAAGUUCGGGGUGAAAUCUCCAGGCUCAACCUGGAAACUGCCCUGAAUACUUCCGUGCUUGAGGGCCGCAGAGGAGAUUGGAAUUCUCGGUGUAGCAGUGAAAUGCGUAGAUAUCGAGAGGAACAUCAGUGGCGAAAGCGAAUCUCUGGGCGGCAUCUGACGCUGAGGCACGAAAGCCAGGGGAGCAAACGGG